Molecule: long non-coding RNA, 225 nt
Organism: Sapajus apella (tufted capuchin)
Lineage: Eukaryota; Metazoa; Chordata; Mammalia; Primates; Cebidae
Exons: 3
Source: RefSeq, a predicted model, not a curated record
CUCUUUUACAAUUAAGUUUAAUAUUAAUGUGUGUAGAUUUGCUCUUGUCAUCAUGUUGUUAACGGUUAUUAUGCAGACUUGUUUGUGUGGUUUCUUUAUAACGUCAAUGGUCUAUGUACAUAAGUGUGUUUUUUUGUUGGCUGGUAAUGGUGUUUCCUAUACACAUUUUGUACUCCCUUUAGUAUCUUCUGUAAGGCAUGUCUGGUGGGAAGGAAUUCCCUUAGC